This 255-nucleotide ribosomal RNA is filed under the name uncultured bacterium. Its description in RNAcentral is "partial 16S ribosomal RNA". It matches the Rfam family "Bacterial small subunit ribosomal RNA", at positions 524 to 776 of the family's 1533-position model. The record is from RNAcentral.
UACAGAGGUCCCGAGCGUUGUUCGGAUUCACUGGGCGUAAAGGGUGCGUAGGUGGUGAGGUAAGUCGGAUGUGAAAUCUCCGGGCUCAACCCGGAAAUGGCAUUGGAAACUACCUUGCUGGAGGAUUUGAGGGGGGAUUGGAAUACUUGGUGUAGCAGUGAAAUGCGUAGAUAUCAAGUGGAACACCAGUGGCGAAGGCGAAUCCCUGGAAAAUACCUGAACACUCGAGGCACGAAAGCUAGGGGAGCAAACAGG